RNAcentral lists this ribosomal RNA (497 nucleotides) under uncultured bacterium. Its description in RNAcentral is "partial 16S ribosomal RNA". It matches the Rfam family "Bacterial small subunit ribosomal RNA", at positions 28 to 507 of the family's 1533-position model. The record is from RNAcentral.
GAUGAACGCUGGCGGCGUGCCUAAUACAUGCAAGUCGAGCGAACAGAUGAGGAGCUUGCUCCUCUGACGUUAGCGGCGGACGGGUGAGUAACACGUGGAUAACCUACCUAUAAGACUGGGAUAACUUCGGGAAACCGGAGCUAAUACCGGAUAAUAUAUUGAACCGCAUGGUUCAAUAGUGAAAGACGGUUUUGCUGUCACUUAAAGAUGGAUCCGCGCCGCAUUGGCUAGUUGGUAAGGUAACGGCUUACCAAGGCAACGAUGCGUAGCCGACCUGAGAGGGUGAUCGGCCACACUGGAACUGAGACACGGUCCAGACUCCUACGGGAGGCAGCAGUAGGGAAUCUUCCGCAAUGGGCGAAAGCCUGACGGAGCAACGCCGCGUGAGUGAUGAAGGUCUUCGGAUCGUAAAACUCUGUUAUUAGGGAAGAACAAAUGUGUAAGUAACUAUGCACGUCUUGACGGUACCUAAUCAGAAAGCCACGGCUAACUACGUG